This 838-nucleotide ribosomal RNA is filed under the name Schizophyllum fasciatum. RNAcentral describes it as "eukaryotic LSU rRNA". It matches the Rfam family "Eukaryotic large subunit ribosomal RNA", at positions 1 to 763 of the family's 3401-position model. The record is from RNAcentral. Lineage: Eukaryota; Fungi; Basidiomycota; Agaricomycetes; Agaricales; Schizophyllaceae.
CAAUAGGACUCUGCUUCUAAUUGUCUCUCACGAGACUAGCGACUUGGUUGCUACUUUAAGACUUGACCUCAAAUCAGGUAGGACUACCCGCUGAACUUAAGCAUAUCAAUAAGCGGAGGAAAAGAAACUAACAAGGAUUCCCCUAGUAACUGCGAGUGAAGCGGGAAAAGCUCAAAUUUAAAAUCUGGCGGUCUCCGGCCGUCCGAGUUGUAAUUUAGAGAAGCGUUAUCCGUGCUGGACCGUGUAUAAGUCUCCUGGAAUGGAGCGUCAUAGAGGGUGAGAAUCCCGUCUUUGACACGGACUACCAGUGCAUUGUGAUGCGCUCUCGACGAGUCGAGUUGUUUGGGAAUGCAGCUCAAAAUGGGUGGUAAAUGCCAUCUAAAGCUAAAUAUUGGCGAGAGACCGAUAGCGAACAAGUACCGUGAGGGAAAGAUGAAAAGAACUUUGGAAAGAGAGUUAAACAGUACGUGAAAUUGUCGAAAGGGAAACGGUUGCAGUCAGUCGCGUCUGCCGGGGAUCAACCUUGCUUUUGCUUGGCGUAUUUCCCGGUAGAUGGGUCAGCAUCAGUUUUGAUUGCAGUUGAAAGGCAGUUGGAAUGUGGCACCUUCGGGUGUGUUAUAGCCUUCUGUCAUAUGCUGCGGUUGGGACUGAGGAACUCAGCACGCCGAAAGGCCGGGAUUCGUCCACGUUCGUGCUUAGGAUGCUGGCAUAAUGUCUGUAACCGACCCGUCUUGAAACACGGACCAAGGAGUCUAACAUGCACGCGAGUGUUUGGGUGGCAAACCCGAGCGCGUAAUGAAAGUGAAAGUUGAGACCUCUGUCGUGGAGGGCAUCGACG